AACGCACGAGACCUGCGGACCUGCGGAAGGAUCAUUACCGAGUGUAGCCCCCCGAUAAAAAGGGGGGCACCUCCCGUCCUUUGCUGGGUCCCCCUUUUGUAGGGGCUUUCGACUUUCUGCUUCGGCGGGGUUACCCGCCGGAACACCCUCAAAAAUCUUUUGUUAAAACUGUUCAGUCCGAGGGCUUUUUUAAAUUUAUGAAAAACUUUCAACAAUGGAUCUCUAGAUCGGAAGAGCACA
RNAcentral lists this unclassified non-coding RNA (240 nucleotides) under soil metagenome. RNAcentral describes it as "partial contains 5.8S ribosomal RNA, internal transcribed spacer 2, and large subunit ribosomal RNA". The record is from RNAcentral.